This 253-nucleotide ribosomal RNA is filed under the name uncultured bacterium. RNAcentral's name for it is "partial 16S ribosomal RNA". It matches the Rfam family "Bacterial small subunit ribosomal RNA", at positions 524 to 776 of the family's 1533-position model. The record is from RNAcentral.
UACGUAGGGCGCAAGCGUUGUCCGGAAUUAUUGGGCGUAAAGAGCUCGUAGGCGGCCUGUCGCGUCCGCUGUGAAAUCCCGGGGCUUAACCCCGGGCGUGCAGUGGAUACGGGCUGGCUAGAGGCAGGCAGGGGAGAACGGAAUUCCCGGUGUAGCGGUGAAAUGCGCAGAUAUCGGGAGGAACACCGGUGGCGAAGGCGGUUCUCUGGGCCUGUUCUGACGCUGAGGAGCGAAAGCGUGGGGAGCGAACAGG